UUUGAGCGAAAAUAAAACAUCGGGUAAUUUUAAACAUAGCCCCCAAUUUUCUCAUUAUAGCCUCUUGUUUAAUAAAAUAAUAAAAAUAAUUAUGAUUGUACUAAUAUACCCUCAUAGCCCCAUUUAAAAAUUUAUAAUAAAUAAAUAGGUUUUUAAAAUUAAAUUUCAAAGAACACUGCGUACAACCUCAAAUUUUUUAUAACCCCGUCUCAUAUAUUUCUAAAACUUUACGAACAUAAUGAUGGAGAAGAAGACAAAUACUUUUUCUUCGUCCAGAGAGAGAGCCGCUGCGCCACCGCAUUGCUGCCGGCGAGAGACAGUUGGGCUCUAGCUGCCUGCAUUGUCGGAGGAAAUAGUCGAUCUUACCCUUCCGGGCUGUGUUCUACUUGCCGUUUCAGGGGUUUUCCUCUUUUGUCGCUAUGGGUUCUUGAAAAGAUUGAGGAGAGUAAGCAGUCGGAGAAGGGAGAUACCACCGCCGCCGCCGCCACCGUCGUCAACGAGAGGGAAUACAGAUCGAGGGACGGCGGCGAUGACAUCAUCAUUAUGGGUGCUGGAGUGGCGUCGCCCUCGCUUAGGAAUUUGUAGUUGACAUAAGAGUUGGGUAAAGUGUGUAGUGUGUGUUUCUUCUUUGAGUGGAUAUAGUUGGCACCUUUUACAGGUGUUAGUUUGAUUUGAAUUAGGAGUUUGCAGUUUAUGAGAUUUGGUGUUUUCAGUCCAGAUUGUGUGAAUGAAAUCGACGCUCAAAGGGUAUUCGGGUAUGCUCUGUUCAAGAAUUAAUCAAGGAGGCUGGACUUUUGAGUUGCAAGGUGUGGAAAUUGUCUCCCUGUUCACAGUUUUAACUGUCUGGUAUAUGAGAGUAGUUGACUUUUAAUGUAUUAGAGAUUUACGUAUGUGGCUAAUAUUACCAAUUUACCACCUAUCUAAACUCUUUCAUCAUCUAUUCUUGUUUUGAAUCUUUCUGGAAUGAAGAACAGGAUGAAAAAAUAUAUAACUUCGUAAAUAGAUGUUCGGUGGAAAGCUUUCUAUCAAAAUAUUGGACGAAUGUUAGAGGAUGGUAAGGAUCCCAUUGCAGAAGGGCAGAUGAAGAAACCAAGUGCUCGUAUCCAAAGUUAUCAUCUUUUUUCAAGAAAAUCACUAUAUACCUUGGGUACACAUGAUGUAUUUAUAGAUUCUUACCUCUUUUUUUUUUUUUUACUUUGUGAAUCUUGUGAAGCUCAAUUAGAAGUUGUGAAUGCUUUUGUGUUGUUGAGUUGAUUUGUUCAAAUAAUCUGUUGUUCCUCUUUUAAUACAGACAGAAGACUUGAUAUAUUCAAAUCCUUCUGCAAGAUAAUUUGUGGAAGUGUCUGUACCAAAGGAAAAAUCUGCUCAUAAAAUGAUAUAAAAUCAUAUGCAGUGUUCAGUUCCUGUGUGUCAUGACAAAAGUUGCAAAACAGGAUACCAAACAUUAAGAGAUCUCCACAUGCUUAUAAAAUAGUUCAAUAUCAACUGAAUUGUGCAGAAAGGAUUUCCCAUAAUCAGUUAGAUUAUAUCUUAGCAAGUUAGCAAUGUAAUGGAGCUUGUUUAUCUAUAAUUCUUUGGUCAUAUUCACGCACUUAAGUCAAAGCCACUAAUGGAAUCAAAUUAAAAUGUUUGCUUGUUUUGGGCACAUUCCCAAUGAGGCAAAUUAAAAAUAUGAAAAGUAAGGGGGAAGAAAGAGAUUCAAUCUUCCAAAAUUCCACAAAAUAAAUUGAAGCAUUCACACAAACUUGGAGAAUAAAUUAACAAUCAAAUCGAAGAGACCAAAUUCGUUGAGUACGCAUAAAUCGGACGAAAGCAGAUUCAGAUCCAUAGAAAUGUGAAUACCCAAACCUAAUCAUCGUCCCUAAUUUCUCAGGUUUAAGCUACACAUAGCUGAAAUCACCGCAGUCUCCAUUGUGUUAACGGAAAUAAAAGCAAAUUGUGAUCACGAGCUCAGAGAAGACAGGAAAUAACAGCUGCUUUCACAAUAGCGAGCGGAAGCAUGCCCUGCUUUGUAUGCACACCUUUAAAUAUGUGGUUCUCUCUCUAGAUAACAAUAUUUCUAAUGGAAUCAAAUUAAAAUGUUUGCUUGUUUUGGGCACAUUCCUAAUGAAUGCAACGAAAAUUAUCGUCAAACCACAAUAUAAACUUCAUUAUUUUGACAGUCUUCUUCGAAGACUUCUUCGUGUGUCUUCUGCAACCUGCGUCUCACGUUCUUUAAGUUUUGUUGGGGGCUAUACUAAUGAAAAUAUUAGGGCUGUUUAUCAGUAUUUUUAAUAUUAGAUCAGAGGGCUAUAUAAUUUUAUCUGUGAAAAAUUGUAGGUAAAUAUGUUUUCAACGCAAUCUUAAUAACUUAUAAUUUAUUGCAAAUUUUAAAUGGGGGCUAUAGGGAUAAAAUGGUACAAUCAUAAUUAUUUUUAUUAUUUUUUUAAAUAAGGGGUUAUAGUGAGAAAAUUGGGGGCUAUGUUUAAAAUUACCCUAAAACAUCGCAUUUAUAAUUUUGCUUAGAACCGGCCCAGCCAAAUUGGUUGGGUUAGGCCUUUUAAGCUAAUAAAAAUGUCAAGAACUAAUCCACUCUAUUCUCUACAAAAAUAAUGUAAACUCGACUAUGCAAGAACAACAAGCAGCCUUACAAGUAGUUGCUACCGCAUUUAUAGUACAUUUAUAAAUUUAUUAUGAGAAAAUUAGGAAUAACAAAAAAUUCUCCCUUUAAAUGCCUCCUCUUUUUUUUCAUUUCCUACAAAAAAUUAGGGAUUUUUUUUUUUUGUUAUCCCUCAUUUCCCUAUGAUAAAUUUAUCUAACCAAAGAAA
Molecule: long non-coding RNA, 2807 nt
Filed under: Salvia miltiorrhiza (redroot sage)
Lineage: Eukaryota; Viridiplantae; Streptophyta; Magnoliopsida; Lamiales; Lamiaceae
Description: long non-coding RNA (SMIL_LNC010406)
Source: RNAcentral